Molecule: ribosomal RNA, 571 nt
Filed under: Macrophthalmus grandidieri
Lineage: Eukaryota; Metazoa; Arthropoda; Malacostraca; Decapoda; Macrophthalmidae
Description: partial 12S ribosomal RNA
Source: RNAcentral
ACUUUAAGGUUAAGUAAAAUUUUAAGUUGUUAGUUAAACGUUUAUAUUUUAGAGAAUUACGAGUAAUAGCAGGUGAAAUUGGUUAUUAAUGUUCGUAUAACAAAGAAAUUUAAGUUGAAGCUAAAAAGGUUUAAUAAAAAACUAGGAUUAGAUACCCUAUUAUUAUAAAAGGCAGAUAAAAAGCUUAAUUAGUAAAAGAUAAAUUCUUAAAAUUUAAAAAAUUUGGCGGUAAUUUAAUCUUUUCAGAGGAACCUGUUUUUUAAAUCGAUAAACCACGAAUAAUCUUACUUACCUUUGUCAUAAAUUUCAGUUUGUAUACCAUCAUUAGCAAAUAAUUUUAAAAGAAUUAAUUAUUUAAUAUAAGAAAUUAUAAAAAUUAGAUCAUGGUGCAGCUUAUAGGUAAGGUAAAAUGGGUUACAAUAAAUUUUUUUAUUACGGAUCAAUGGUUUAAAAUUGUUGUGAAGGAGGAUUUGAUUGUAUUAUAAAUUUAAUAAGAUUUAAAGAUAUAAGCUCUAAAUUAUGUACAUAUCGCCCGUCGCUUUCGUCUAUAAGCGAAAUAAGUCGUAACAUA